GCGUCGGUGACAAUUGCAUCCAACCCGCCUCACAAGCUCUUCGUUCUCUUCAAGACUGAUCUCUGCAAAUAGGAAUACCUCCAGUCUCUCUCCAUCAGGAGCCGCUGCUGGUUUUAUAUAUGCAUAUGCGUCAACGGGUGCUAAUUUUGCAGCAUCAAAGGUUUGAAUAUUUCUUCUCAAGUUCCUGUUGAAUUCAGCAAUGGACAGCAAUUCGUAUCGUACGCUAGCGCUCUGCCGGAAAUCGAGCUCUGAGAACGAAGUAGCGAAAUCACUGAAGAAACAAUAACUCUGUUAAACUUCCUGAUAAUAGCGAAGUAUCGAUACUUUUGCGCUCAGAUAUGGAUGAUAAAAGAAUCCAAAGAACGGUCCUUCAAUGCCAUCCACUCAAGACGUUGUGUCACAUAUUCGGCAGCAACUUUGGUGAGCUUCCAAUUGGUGCCGUUUGUGUUGCAGAUGUUCAAUACAAAGGAAGAGGUCGGUCGAAGAAUGUGUAGGAAUCUCCUUAGGCUGCCUUCUAUUUUCUCUUACAGUGCAAAUAGAGGAUGGAUGAACGGUGUCUAUGCUCUCUUGCAGUCACAGAGACAAUAAAAGAUGUGUGACAUAAAUGCUAAGAGAAUUGUGUGCUGCUGCUUAUCAAUUGAGAAGAGAAGAUUUACUUGCAGCAUUUUUUAACAAAUUUGAGAACUUUUAUGACCUUUUUCAUAUAGCAAGUUUUGAUUUCUUCAAAGGACUAGUCAGAAGGAAAAUUCAACGAAGAUCCUUGUCAUUCUACCUUUUCCCAGUGGAUACAGUCAUGAAGUUACAAAAUGGUUGCUAUUAUGGAUGCCGGUACUUAAUCAAUUUAUUGAAUUAUAUAGACUAGUAGAAUGACAUUAGAGCUGUUUGAUUAUCCACGGGAAUGGUCUUUGAGCUGUUUGAUUCCUUUUACAGUUCUAGCAAGCUCGUAUUGUAGUUCAAGAUAUUCUCAUUUUGAUGCAAAUAUGGAUUGUACUGCCUCUUACCAAUGUUGCUUGAAAGAGACAUGCAGGAUGAAGAUUCUUUUUUCCAAGUAGAUGAAUGGUUGAUAUCUUGGGGGACCAGUUCAGUCCAACAAUCCGACAUUGGUAUGUCCUAUGAUAUGUUGUUAUUUGUCUCCUUCUUCCUUUUCCUCUACAUAUCUGUCUCUAUUUUUCUUAAGAAUGGAAGGAUACUAUCACCCCCACACAUGUAGACUGACAAAGGUUUUGGUGCAACUGAUAUUUAGUUGUAGUUGGGGUCCAUGAUGCAGUGACACUGUCUCCUACGGAAUUGUGGAAUUAUAUUGAGGUUUAAGUUUUUCCUCAAGAGGGCUACAAAGAGCAUGUGAGUGAAAACCCAUACUUUCUUUUUUGUCUGUGUCGUGUAUGAAAUCUUGGAUGGUCUAUGUCUUAAGUUUAUGGUCCCCCAAAACAUAAUUAAACCCCCUCCCCCAAAAUUAUUUUUAAUUUCAUGUCCAAGACUUGUUCAAACAUUUGUAGUAAAAUUGUAAUAGCCCGUUGCUCUAUAUUAGUAACACUUUGUCCGUUUUGUGAAUAGUCCAUACUGGCUCGUACGGCUUUGUCUUCUCA
This is a long non-coding RNA of Tripterygium wilfordii, 1586 nucleotides long. RefSeq lists it as uncharacterized. Lineage: Eukaryota; Viridiplantae; Streptophyta; Magnoliopsida; Celastrales; Celastraceae. The transcript has 5 exons. The record is from RefSeq and is a predicted model, not a curated record.